Molecule: ribosomal RNA, 465 nt
Filed under: uncultured bacterium
Lineage: Bacteria
Description: bacterial SSU rRNA
Rfam family: Bacterial small subunit ribosomal RNA
Source: RNAcentral
AUUGAACGCUGGCGGCAGGCCUAACACAUGCAAGUCGAGCGGUAGAGAGGUGCUUGCAUCUCUUGAGAGCGGCGGACGGGUGAGUAAUGCCUAGGAAUCUGCCUAGUGGUGGGGGAUAACGUUCGGAAACGGACGCUAAUACCGCAUACGUCCUACGGGAGAAAGCGGGGGGAUCUUCGGACCUCGCGCCAUUAGAUGAGCCUAGGUCGGAUUAGCUAGUUGGUGAGGUAAUGGCUCACCAAGGCGACGAUUCGUAACUGGUCUGAGAGGAUGAUCAGUCACACUGGAACUGAGACACGGUCCAGACUCCUACGGGAGGCAGCAGUGGGGAAUAUUGGACAAUGGGCGAAAGCCUGAUCCAGCCAUGCCGCGUGUGUGAAGAAGGUCUUCGGAUUGUAAAGCACUUUAAGUUGGGAGGAGGUAGUAACCUAAUACGUUGCUACUUGACGUUACCGACAGAAUAAG